Non-coding RNA from Leptonychotes weddellii (Weddell seal), 787 nucleotides. The record is from RefSeq and is a predicted model, not a curated record. NCBI's taxonomy places the organism in Eukaryota, Metazoa, Chordata, Mammalia, Carnivora, Phocidae.
CCGACUCACCGAGGAUGAUGUGAGCGAGACAGACGCGCAGGCGGGAAGCCGGGCCUUGGUGUCGCGGCCGCCAACGCGCGGGUGCAGCAGGUGAAAGACAAAAGGACCUUGAAGGCGGUAUGGCUUGCUGCCCUUCCAGAUGCAGAGGCGGCUCCGGUCCUGUUGCCAGGAGGACAGGACUGGUUGAGUGCCAAAUCCUGUGCUGUGGAGUGCAUUGGAGAACCUGAGCUGACCAGGGCAUUGACCUUGCUAAGGUUUAUGCACUGACAGAGGAAACGAGUUUAGAGUCCCAUAAUCUAGGUACUAGGCAGACUCUGCUAAAAUUUUCGAUUGAGGUUAGCAUGCAGUACAGUGGGGGCCUGCAGGGGUCAGCAAGGGCUUCUGGGAGGAAGAGGCAUCUGAGACUGCAGAGAGGUGGAAAGUCAGCAGAUGGAGAUGGGAAAAGGGAUGAUGGGGGAGGUACCAUCCAUCCCUCAUCCAUUGGGUCAGCCAGGCCUUUUGCAAAGCUCAGGGAGGCUCAGAGUUAAACCCAAGGCAGCCCUGCCCCUGCCAGGAGCUCCUGAAUGGAGGUGGAGAAUGCGGGGUGUAUGUGAGCAGAAGGUAAAAAAGCUGGAACAAGGAAGUGGGCGAGAGUGAGCGUCUGGCCCCAACCUGGCUCUGGAAUUUCACCAGGCACCGGAUUACCUGCUCCCUGCUCCUGGGCCACCCUGGAACGCUCACUGGCGGUGUUGCUGCCCCCUUUCUCCCAUGCAUGCAAAGACUCUCUCCUGCAGGGCCAGCCCUUGCU